This 582-nucleotide ribosomal RNA is filed under the name uncultured bacterium. RNAcentral describes it as "partial 16S ribosomal RNA". It matches the Rfam family "Bacterial small subunit ribosomal RNA", at positions 355 to 926 of the family's 1533-position model. The record is from RNAcentral.
UGGGGAAUAUUGCACAAUGGGCGCAAGCCUGAUGCAGCCAUGCCGCGUGUGUGAAGAAGGCCUUCGGGUUGUAAAGCACUUUCAGCGAGGAGGAAGGUGGUGAGCUUAAUACGCUCAUCAAUUGACGUUACUCGCAGAAGAAGCACCGGCUAACUCCGUGCCAGCAGCCGCGGUAAUACGGAGGGUGCAAGCGUUAAUCGGAAUUACUGGGCGUAAAGCGCACGCAGGCGGUUUGUUAAGUCAGAUGUGAAAUCCCCGGGCUCAACCUGGGAACUGCAUUUGAAACUGGCAAGCUAGAGUCUCGUAGAGGGGGGUAGAAUUCCAGGUGUAGCGGUGAAAUGCGUAGAGAUCUGGAGGAAUACCGGUGGCGAAGGCGGCCCCCCUGGACGAAGACUGACGCUCAGGUGCGAAAGCGUGGGGCAGCAAACAGGAUUAGAUACCCUGGUAGUCCACGCUGUAAACGAUGUCGAUUUUGGAGGUUGUGCCCUUGAGGCGUGGCUUCCGGAGCUAACGCGUUAAAUCGACCGCCUGGGGAGUACGGCCGCAAGGUUAAAACUCAAAGGAAUUGACGGGGUCUAGCUG